ACGCGUGGAACCUUACCAGGUCUUGACAUCCCGCUGCCCGGUCUGGAGACAGAUCUUCCCCUUCGGGGGCAGCGGUGACAGGUGGUGCAUGGUUGUCGUCAGCUCGUGUCGUGAGAUGUUGGGUUAAGUCCCGCAACGAGCGCAACCCUUGAUCUUAGUUGCCAGCAUUUAGUUGGGCACUCUAAGGUGACUGCCGGUGACAAACCGGAGGAAGGUGGGGAUGACGUCAAAUCAUCAUGCCCCUUAUGACCUGGGCUACACACGUGCUACAAUGGAUGGUACAAAGGGCUGCAAGACCGCGAGGUUUAGCCAAUCCCAUAAAACCAUUCUCAGUUCGGAUUGCAGGCUGCAACUCGCCUGCAUGAAGCUGGAAUCGCUAGUAAUCGCGGAUCAGCAUGCCGCGGUGAAUACGUUCCCGGGCCUUGUACACACCGCCCGU
Molecule: ribosomal RNA, 439 nt
Filed under: uncultured bacterium
Lineage: Bacteria
Description: bacterial SSU rRNA
Rfam family: Bacterial small subunit ribosomal RNA
Source: RNAcentral